UACGAAGGGGGCUAGCGUUGUUCGGAAUUACUGGGCGUAAAGCGCGCGCAGGCGGUCCUUCAAGUUAGAGGUGAAAGCCCAGGGCUUAACCCUGGAAUUGCCUUUAAGACUGCAUCGCUAGAAUCGUGGAGAGGUGAGUGGAAUUCCGAGUGUAGAGGUGAAAUUCGCAGAUAUUCGGAAGAACACCAGUGGCGAAGGCGACUCACUGGACACGUAUUGACGCUGAGGUGCGAAAGCGUGGGGAGCAAACAGG
RNAcentral lists this ribosomal RNA (253 nucleotides) under uncultured bacterium. RNAcentral describes it as "partial 16S ribosomal RNA". It matches the Rfam family "Bacterial small subunit ribosomal RNA", at positions 524 to 776 of the family's 1533-position model. The record is from RNAcentral.